GCUGCCACCUCUGGAGGAGCUGAAAAAUAUUGCCAAAAACUAAGAGUCACUCUAAUAUGGAAAGGAGGACAGUCGGGAGUUGGGAGGCAACACAUUUGACUUUUGCUUAAGAAGGAUCUUGCAGAAAGUGAAGAAGAGCAGGAAGGGAUAAGGCAUUUGAAUGAAGACUGAUGUUCUCUUCUUUGGUCUGAGGAUUUAGGACACAUUCACUGCCUGAUCACUGUGGCCCAGAAGCCACAGCCACUGCUGAGAGAUAGAGGCCCCAUGUUCCCUGUACACAUCUUUCCCCAACCCUCUCUGAGGCUUCUGUGUUCACAGAAGCAGGUCUGGUGCUCAAAAGGAUAACUUUCUACCAUACAAAAAAAAGUUUUUUUCAUUUUGAGCAGGACAUCACUUCUGAUUUUCCUACCUUUGACAUGGACUAGACUAAUUAACAAAUUCUGGAGGGGAGACACUUCCAAACAUCUCUGACAUUCUGGCUUCACAAAGGUUAGGAGAGCUGUUAUGGAGAGGAUGGAGCCUUUUUCCUCUUCCUGGGAAAGUCUGAAGAAGAAAGGGGCUACUGAGAAGUCUAAUAGAUUCAGCAGUCUAAUACAUAUUGUGUUUAAAUAGACAUCUUUUGGUAACCUGAGGUAGGGAUGGUGUGUUAGGCCAUUCUUUCUUGCUAUGGAGAAAUAUCUGAGACUGGGUAAUUUAUAAAGAAAAGAGGUUUGAUUGGCUCAAGGUUCUGCAGGCUGUACAGGAAGCAUAAUGACAUCUGCUUCUGGGGAGGCCUCUGGAAGCUUCCUAUGAUGGUGGAAGGUGGAGAGGGAGCUUGCACAUCACAUGGCAAAAGCAAGAGGAAGAGAGAGGUGGGGAGGUGCCACACACUUUUAAAAGACCAGAGCUCAUGAAAACACACUCACUAUUGUGAGGACAGCACCAAGAGGAUGGUGCUAAACUAUUCAUGAGAAAUCCUCCCCCAUGAUCCAGUCACCUCCCACCAGGCCCCACCUCCAACACUGGGGAUUACAUUUCUACAAGAGAUUUGGGUGGAAACACACCCAAACUAUAUCAGGUCUAGAGGUCAGCAUCAGGGAAUCCAGAGAUUCCAAGCACAAGAAAGAUUUGACGCCUCCUUGGGGACUUGGAGAUGGAAGGGGCCAUGAGGCAAGGAAUAUAGACAACUGUAAAGGUGAAAGUGAUUGACAGCCAAUAAGGAAAGAGGUACGAACCUCCAGGCUACAACCUCAAGGGACAGAAUUCGGCCAACGGCCCGAAUAAGUUUAGAAAUGGAUUUUUCCUCAGUCUCCAAAUAAGAGCCCAUUCUGGCCUCUGCACCAGUGAAAAUAGUAAUAAUCUCUGUCUCAAAAUGACAGGUGAGUCUAAGCAGGUGACCCAGACACAUGCUGCUGGUCUUCUGAGCUCCAGGAGAAAUGCACAUUGAAGCUGCUAAGCUUGUGGCAGGCAAUAUGUUACUCAGCAACAGAAAAUUAAUACACUUGGUAUAGAAUAUUCAUUGUGAGUUUAGGAAUUUUUGAGCUCUAUAAACAGGGAACACUUUUAUCUUACUCUCACUCCCAACUCAUUUCCCAGAUGCAUUAUCACUUCAGAACAUUCUGCAGGGUAUUGGCAAUGAUUUUUCUCCUUUAGAGAUCCUUUAUUAAGUUAGAGAAGAAAUAGUGGUCAUAAUAAUAAUAAAUAGAUAACAUUCAGAGAGCAUUUAUCAUGUGUUAGCAUUUUGCUAAACACUUUAUCUGCAUUCUCCCAUAUAAUUCCCAGAAUGGUCAUUUUAAGACAGAAAUUAUUACUAUUUUCAUUUUGUGUUUUAGGGAUUAGAGAAUUGCAGACAUGUAUAAAUCUUUAUAUAUAAACCUGUGAUAUUGUGAUAUAAUGGGAAAUAUAUAUUUUGUCUCUGCCCCUGGUUCCUGGCACAAAGCUGCUAAAACUUUUGCAGUUUCCUAAUAGGGGUGCUAGGUAUAUCUUUGGUUCUAAUAUUUGGCAAUUGAUUCCAGUUCCUGACGUGGUACUCCUAAUCCCUUAGAAUGUCCUGAGUGGUACAUGUGUCUCUUGUUCUAAGGAAGUGACUUUUGAUAAACUACUGGAUUGGGGUUGAUCACAAGAAAGACCAAGCAAUGAUUAGAAGCUUGGAACUUUCAGGCUCAGCCCCUAUCCUCCAGGAAGCAGAGAGGGGCUGGAGAUUAAGUUAAGAAUCAAUCUAGCCUAUGUGAUGAAUUCCCUGAGUUUAGAGAGAUGCAAGGUUGCUAAACAUGUGGAGGUGCUAGGAGGGUGGUACCCUGGAGAGAUCAUGGAAGUGCCCAUUUCCCCAUACCUUGCCCUAUACAUCUCAUCCAUCUGAUUGUUAGUCUGUAUCCUUAGUAAUAUUUUUUCUGAUAAAAUGGCAAGAAUAAGUACAGUGUUUCCCUGAAUCCUAUGAGCCACUCUAGCUAAUUAAGCAAACCUGAGGGGUUCUGGGAGCCACCAAUUCAUAGCCAGUCAGUCAGAAGUUCUAGAGGCCUGUAGUUGUGAUUAGCAUCUGGAGUGGGGGGCAGUCUUGUGGUGCUGAGCCCUCACCCUGUGAGAUCUGACUUCAACUCCAGGUAGAUAUUGUCAGAAUAAAGUUAAAUUGUAGGACACCCCAUUGGUGUCCACUGGAGAAUUGUUUGCUGUGUAGGGGGGAAAAAUCCCAAAAAUCUGGUGUCAAAAGUGUUUUAUGUUUUGUUGAGAAUAUAUUAGAAGAAAACAGUUGCUUAGUUCAUUUGUUGUUUGUUUGUUUACUACCAUAUAGAACCAAAAUCCAAAUCUGUCUGAUCAUAAGCCCAUUUGCCUGGUGGAAAGUUGUGGAUGGUGCUCAGAGUUCACUGUUCUCUCUCCAUUUCAUAUGCUCAGGUGUGUUGCUGAACAUAAGAUGCUGGGAAACUGAAAGGAAUACAUAAGAGAGAUAGCAACAAUUAAAAAAUGCAGAAUAAGGUUGCUUUGAAAUGAAAGUUGACAACCAAUGAAAUAGAUUUCUUAAAAAUUAUUUUUCAUAGAAGAACAGAUAAUGGAAUUACAUACUUAAAUAAUUGUCUGGGCUUGGUUUACUGAGAUUUGUCAACUGUAGUUUGUAUUUUUUAUUUAAAAAUCUAUCAGGGAAGUUUAUUUGAGGUACAUUAAGAACCAACUACGUAAAUAGAAAUUACAGACUCCCUCAAGAGGGACAUAAUCACCUGAUUCUUUUUAUUAAAUUCCGGUAGCAUAAAGAUUUAGAAAGCCAAGAAAUAAAUUCUGUAGGACAAAGUAGGUCAUAUCUAUUCUAUAACCAUUAAGAAUUAUUGACAACUAUUAUCAACUAUGAGCAACAGGGUUAUGAAUCUCAGGCCAAGUAUAAAGAGCUCACUCCAAAGCAGCACUGUCCAACAGAAAUGUAACACAGGAUGCAUAUGUAAUUAUAAAUUUUCUAGUAACCACAUUACAAAAGCAAAAUGAAACGGGUGAAAUAAAUUUUAAUACUAUAUCUAAUUUAACUCAAUACAUCCAAAAUACUAUCAUUUCAACAUGUAAUUAACAUAAAAAUGUUGAGAUAUUUUGUAUUCUUUUUCAUACUGUGUUCAAAAUUUAGUGUGUAUUUUAUAUUUAAUAAUAUUUCAGUUUAAACUAACCACUUUUUUUUUCUUUUCUGUAACUUUUUAAUUUAAUUCUAUUUUAAUUACUUUAAGUUCUGGGAUACAUGUGGUGAACAUUCAGGUUUGUUACAUAAGUAUACAUGUGCCAUGGUGGUUUGCUACACCUAGCAACCCAUCAUCAAGGUUUUGAGCCCUGCAUGCAUAAGAUAUUUGUCCUAAUGCUCUCCCUCCCCUUUCCCCUCAUCCCCCAACAGGCCCCAGUGUGUGAUGUUCCCCUCCCCGUGUCCAUGUGUUCUCACUGUUCAACUCCCACUUAUGAGUGAGAACAUUCGGUGUUUGGUUUUUCUCUUCCUGUGUUAAUUUGCUGAGAAUGAUGGUUUCCAGCUUCAUCCAUGUCCCUGCAAAGGACAUGAACUCAUUCUUUUUUAUGGCUGCAUAGUAUUCCAUUGUAUAUAUAUGUGCCACAUUUUCUUUAUCCAGUCUGUUAUUGAUAAAAAUUUGAGUUGGUUCCAACUCUUUACUAUUGUAAAUAGUGCUACAAUAAACAUAUAUGUGCAUAUGUCUUUAUAAUAGAAUGCUUUGUAAUCCUUUGGGUAUAUACCCAAUAAUAGGAUUGCUGGGUCAAAUGGUAUGUCUGGUUCUAGAUCCUUGAGAAAUCUCCACACUGUCUACCACAAUGGUUGAACUAAUUUACACUCCCACCAACAGUGUAAAAGCAUUCCUAUUUUUCUGCAUCCUCGCCAGAUCUGUGGUUUCCAGACUUAUUUAUUUAUUUAUUUUUUUUUUGAGACAGAGUCUUGUUCUAUCUCCCAGGCUGGAGGGCAAUGGCACAAUCUUGGCUCACUGCAACCGCUGCCCCCAGGCUCAAGUGAUUCUUCUACCUCAGCCUCUCGAGUAGCUGGGACUACAAGUACAUACCACUAUGCCAGGCUAAAUUUUUGUAUUUUUAGUAGUGACAGGGUUUCACUGUGUUAGCCAGGAUGAUCUCAAUCUCCUCACCUGUAAUCUGUCCACCUCGGUCUCCCAAAGUGUUGGGGCUAUAGGCAUGAGCCACCAUGCGCAGACAUUUCUAGACUUUUUAACGAUCACCAUUCUAACUGGUGUGAGAUGGUAUCUCGUUUUGAUUUGCAUUUCUCUAAUGACUAGUGAUGAUGAGUUUUUCAUGUUUGUUGGUCACAUAAAUGUCUUCUUUUGAGAAAUGUCUGUUCACAUCCUUCACCCACUUUUUAAUGGGGUUGUUUUUUUCUUGUAAAUUUGUAAAUUUGGUGCCAGUACCAGUACAAGUUCCUUGUAGAUUCUGGAUAUUAGACCCUUGUCAGAUGGAGAGAUUGCAAAAAUCUUCUCCCAUUCUGUAGAUUGCCUGUUCACUCUGAUGAUAGUUUCUUUGAGCAGAAGCUCUUUAGUUUAAUUAGAUCCCAUUUGUCAAUUUUGGUUUUUGUUGCCAUUGCUUUUGGUGUUUUAGUCAUGUAGUCUUUGCCCAUGCCUAUGUCCUGAAUGGUAUUACCUAGGUUUUCUUCUAGGAUUUUUGUGGUUUUAGAUUUUAUGUUUAAGUCUUUAAUCCAUCUUGAGUUAAUUUCUGUAUAAGAUGUAAGGAAGAAGUCCAGUUUCGGUUUUCUGCGUAUAGCUAGCGAGUUUUCCCAGCACCAUUUAUUAAAUAGGGAACCCUUUCCCCAUUGUUUGUUUUUGUCUGGUUUAUAGAAGAUCAGAUGGUUGUAGAUGCGUAUUAUUAUUUCUGAGGCCUCUGUUCUGUUUUAUUGGUCUAUACAUCUGUUUUUGGUGCCAGUACCAUGCUGCCUUGGUUACUAUAGCCUUGUCAU
Molecule: long non-coding RNA, 5401 nt
Filed under: Callithrix jacchus (white-tufted-ear marmoset)
Lineage: Eukaryota; Metazoa; Chordata; Mammalia; Primates; Cebidae
Description: lncRNA (ENSCJAG00000084801.1)
Source: RNAcentral